Molecule: long non-coding RNA, 624 nt
Organism: Myotis lucifugus (little brown bat)
Lineage: Eukaryota; Metazoa; Chordata; Mammalia; Chiroptera; Vespertilionidae
Exons: 3
Source: RefSeq, a predicted model, not a curated record
CCUUGCAAGUUUGCACAGCCUGGGAUUUCGAGAAUGGAGGCCUUUCUCCCAAACACACUACCUCCUAUGAAGUCAAGUGCACAGCUGUAUCCUGGUGUGACUACCUCGCAUCCAAAUGGGCAGCAGACACAGGCCUGCAGGCUGACCCUCUAUCCACUGAUCCGAACCGGCUCGGGAAAGGAAUUCUUCAUUUAAAGGCCAGUAAAAGAAGAUAAUCCACAAAGGAGGAGACGUGGCCACAGAUCAGAAGAAAACAUGAUUUCUUAGAACGGAAUCUAAACAUUCAAGGAGACACUGAAAUGGACCCCUGGGGGAGCAUGGGAAUCCUGGAGCAGGAUGACCUGUGGAGAAGGCAUCCUGGGAGCUGUGAGGGGGAGUCCACAGAAGUCUCGGGAAAGUGCCAGCCUGCGCCACAUCUCUCCGCCACCCGGGAUAACUCUUCCAUUCUCCAUUUAGUGCUUGACACCAGGCACUCAGAGAGGGCGGUGAGAGGCAGGGCAGCAGCACAGCUGCGGGCAGGAGUGAAAGUCAGGCCUGGGGAGCGGAUGGAAGUACUUGGGGCCCAGGAACCCUGUUUCUUGGGCUGUUGCUGCCUCCAGGGGGCCAGGAAAGAUGGGUGAUGCC